AGCAAUUUGGCGCAGUGGAAGCGCGGUAUGUCUCACACUCAUAACCCGGAGGUCGCCUGAUCGAAACGGGCAAUUGCUA
Molecule: transfer RNA, 79 nt
Filed under: Stachybotrys chartarum IBT 7711
Lineage: Eukaryota; Fungi; Ascomycota; Sordariomycetes; Hypocreales; Stachybotryaceae
Description: tRNA-Val (CAC) (tRNA-Val-CAC-4-1)
Rfam family: tRNA
About the family: Transfer RNA (tRNA) molecules are approximately 80 nucleotides in length. Their secondary structure includes four short double-helical elements and three loops (D, anti-codon, and T loops).
Source: RNAcentral